RNAcentral lists this unclassified non-coding RNA (232 nucleotides) under Hevea brasiliensis (rubber tree). The record is from RNAcentral. Lineage: Eukaryota; Viridiplantae; Streptophyta; Magnoliopsida; Malpighiales; Euphorbiaceae.
CUCGAAUUCGACAUUGAUACACAAAAGUAACCAAAUUCUGCGCAUUUUUACUAGUAUUUGAAGAUGAAGAAUCAGCUACUUGUACACCAUUUUCACCAAAGCAAGACGGAAAAUCUCUCAUUUUUUUCCCUUUUACAAAGAACUCUAAUUCACUAAAGUGAAACUCUCACUCAGGUCUUUCGACAAACACUUGAACCCAAUUUUGCAUCUCAAAAGCCCAUCUCAUAAACGC